AGUGAACGCUGGCGGUAGGCCUAACACAUGCAAGUCGAACGGCAGCACAGUAAGAGCUUGCUCUUACGGGUGGCGAGUGGCGGACGGGUGAGGAAUACAUCGGAAUCUACUUUUUCGUGGGGGAUAACGAAGGGAAACUUACGCUAAUACCGCAUACGACCUACGGGUGAAAGCAGGGGAUCUUCGGACCUUGCGCGAUUGAAUGAGCCGAUGUCGGAUUAGCUAGUUGGCGGGGUAAAGGCCCACCAAGGCGACGAUCCGUAGCUGGUCUGAGAGGAUGAUUAGCGACACUGGAACUGAGACACGGUCCACACUCCUACGGGAGGCAGCAGUGGGGAAUAUUGGACAAUGGGCGCAAGCCUGAUCCAGCCAUACCGCGUGGGUGAAGAAGGCCUUCGGGUUGUAAAGCCCUUUUGUUGGGAAAGAAAAGCAGCAGGUUAAUACCCCGCUGUUCUGACGGUACCCAAAGAAUAAGCACCGGCUAACUUCGUG
RNAcentral lists this ribosomal RNA (492 nucleotides) under uncultured bacterium. RNAcentral's name for it is "partial 16S ribosomal RNA". It matches the Rfam family "Bacterial small subunit ribosomal RNA", at positions 29 to 507 of the family's 1533-position model. The record is from RNAcentral.